CAGUAGCCGCGGUAAUACGUAGGGUGCGAGCGUUAAUCGGAAUUACUGGGCGUAAGGCGUGCGCAGGCGGUUAUAUAAGACAGUUGUGAAAUCCCCGGGCUCAACCUGGGAACUGCAUCUGUGACUGUAUAGCUAGAGUACGGUAUAGGGGGAUGGAAUUCCGCGUGUAGCAGUGAAAUGCGUAGAUAUGCGGAGGAACACCGAUGGCGAAGGCAAUCCCCUGGACCUGUACUGACGCUCAUGCACGAAAGCGUGGGGAGCAAACAGGAUUAGAUACCCCUGUAGUCCCUGUCUCUUAUAC
This 301-nucleotide ribosomal RNA is filed under the name uncultured bacterium. RNAcentral describes it as "partial 16S ribosomal RNA". It matches the Rfam family "Bacterial small subunit ribosomal RNA", at positions 509 to 807 of the family's 1533-position model. The record is from RNAcentral.